RNA transcript from Lathyrus oleraceus (garden pea), 1603 nucleotides. It is a transcript of the gene named E3 ubiquitin-protein ligase RZF1, with no coding region annotated. Lineage: Eukaryota; Viridiplantae; Streptophyta; Magnoliopsida; Fabales; Fabaceae. The record is from RefSeq and is a predicted model, not a curated record. The transcript has 3 exons.
AAAAUGGUAUGGCAAUCAGAAGAAUUCUGACUUUUAGAGCUUCUCUGUUCAUUCUUGUUAGAAAAGUAAGCCGUUACCACUCUUCCCUCCAAAAUCACAAAAACUUUGCCUGGAUUUUUACCUCAAACACUUAUCCUUUUCCUACCAAUGGAAGGAACAGUGGUUUCAUUGAAAGGAAUCACUUUGUACAAACCGCAUAAGUAAUCCUUUUCUUCUCCUCCAUGUUCCAUAUAUAAAACCUUCCUCUUUCAUCAACUUCCUACAUCAUCAUAAUCAUCACCAUGUCUUUGAGUCCUCCAAGAGAGAGAAUCAACGGCCAACAUAGGAACUUCCAUCUCUACUGGUGCUUCCAAUGCAACCGCUCCGUCCGCGUCGCAUCCGAUAACUCCACAGAAUUAAUAUGCCCACGCUGCUUCGGUCAAUUCAUAUGCGAAAUCACCAUACCAAGACCGAGACUCAUGAUAGACUUCACCGCACACGAUCCUUCCCCAGAAGCGCGUUUGCUAGAAGCACUUUCCCUCAUCAUCGACCCACCCACCCGAACACCACGCCCACGAGAAGUUCCCGUGCACCGCCGCACAGGGGAUCAUCCGACCCGAACACAACCCGAGCCCGGAAUCCAACAUCAUCCACGUACAUGGGUUAUCCUUCAACCCGUGGAUCCUUCAGAUUCAAACACGUUUCAACCCAUGAUUAAUCCACGUGGACGACAGGGAUCAAUACCGAUUCCGCGUGGCGUUGAUGCAGGAGAUUACUUUUUCGGCCCCGGUUUUAACGAACUGGUAGACCAAAUAACUGAAAACGACCGGCAAGGUCCGCCGCCGGUGCCGGAGAGAGGCAUAAACGCGAUUCCGACGGUGAAAAUCGAGAGUAAGAAUCUGAAAGAGAAUUCUCAUUGUCCUGUUUGUCAGGAAGAGUUUGAAAUUGGCGGUGAAGCGAGGGAACUUCCAUGUAAACAUAUAUAUCACUCUGAUUGCAUUGUUCCGUGGCUUAGACUUCAUAAUUCUUGUCCAAUUUGUCGUCAAGAGGUUCCUGUAGGUUCUGAUGAUGAGUGUAGUGAAGAAGAAGGUGGUGGAGGUAGGUUACGAAGGUGCUUGAGGUGGACUCGUGUUUCGUCUCUUUGGCCUUUUCAUGGAAGGUAUAGAAGAGUUCAUCCUCAAAGACACAAUGGUUCUGGUUCUGCUUCUUCAACAACAAGGGAAUCUAAUUCAAGGUGGCAUUUUUGCUGCAUUCUUUAAUGCAUGAAUCCAAUGAUUAACUUCUUCAGCUUGAGGCUGAAAUCAUGAAUAUCAUUUCAGGUUGUUAACAUGUAAACGCAGUAGACUGGUUGUCAUAGUCACAAGAAUAAAAUGGUCUUACUAUCGAAGUCAAGAAUCGAAACUAAGUAAAUGAAGUUAGGCAUCCGUGCAAAACUGUUACUUGUUGUAAAUGAUGUUUAUCUUUCAUUCAUAAGAGGCUACAUUUAUUUGUUAAUUUUAUUAAUAUCUAAAUCUAAAAAUGUACAUAGUUACUGGAUAUCAACUAAAUACGCAUACACUAGGAAUGGUGAUUGUCAUAAAAUAACAAAUUGGUUACCAUGUUAUAUAUCAUUGUGUUUGCUGUA